UACGUAGGGUGCGAGCGUUAUUCGGAAUUACUGGGCGUAAAGGGUUCGUAGGCGGCCGACUAAGUCAGACGUGAAAUCCCUCAGCUUAACUGGGGAACUGCGUCUGAUACUGGAUGGCUUGGAUUUGGGAGAGGGAUGCGGAAUUCCAGGUGUAGCGGUGAAAUGCGUAGAUAUCUGGAGGAACACCGGUGGCGAAGGCGGCAUCCUGGACCGACACUGACGCUGAGGAGCGAAAGCCAGGGGAGCAAACGGG
This 253-nucleotide ribosomal RNA is filed under the name uncultured bacterium. RNAcentral's name for it is "partial 16S ribosomal RNA". It matches the Rfam family "Bacterial small subunit ribosomal RNA", at positions 524 to 776 of the family's 1533-position model. The record is from RNAcentral.